Molecule: ribosomal RNA, 733 nt
Filed under: uncultured Enterobacteriaceae bacterium
Lineage: Bacteria; Pseudomonadati; Pseudomonadota; Gammaproteobacteria; Enterobacterales; Enterobacteriaceae
Description: bacterial SSU rRNA
Rfam family: Bacterial small subunit ribosomal RNA
Source: RNAcentral
AGCAAACAGGAUUAGAUACCCUGGUAGUCCACGCUGUAAACGAUGUCGAUUGGAGUUUGUUGCCUAGAGUGAUGGGCUCCGAAGCUAACGCGAUAAAUCGACCGCCUGGGGAGUACGGCCGCAAGGUUAAACUCAAAUGAAUUGACGGGGGCCCGCACAAGCGGUGGAGCAUGUGGUUUAAUUCGAUGCAACGCGAAGAACCUUACCUGGUCUUGACAUCCAUAGAAUUCUGCAGAGAUGUGGGAGUGCCUUCGGGAACUAUGAGACAGGUGCUGCAUGGCUGUCGUCAGCUCGUGUUGUGAAAUGUUGGGUUAAGUCCCGCAACGAGCGCAACCCUUAUUCUUUGUUGCCAGCGAUUUGGUCGGGAACUCAAAGGAGACUGCCGUUGAUAAAGCGGAGGAAGGUGGGGACGACGUCAAGUCAUCAUGGCCCUUACGACCAGGGCUACACACGUGCUACAAUGGCGUAUACAAAGGGAAGCGAAGGUGCGAGCUGGAGCGGAUCUCAUAAAGUACGUCUAAGUUCGGAUUGGAGUCUGCAACUCGACUCCAUGAAGUCGGAAUCGCUAGUAAUCGUAGAUCAGAAUGCUACGGUGAAUACGUUCCCGGGCCUUGUACACACCGCCCGUCACACCAUGGGAGUGGGUUGCACCAGAAGUAGAUAGCUUAACCGCGAGGGGGGCGUUUACCACGGUGUGAUUCAUGACUGGGGUGAAGUCGUAACAAGGUAACCA